GAUGAACGCUAGCGGCAGGCUUAACACAUGCAAGUCGAGGGGUAGGUUACUUCGGUAAUUGAGACCGGCGCACGGGUGCGUAACGCGUAUACAAUCUACCUUUUACAGAGGGAUAGCCCAGAGAAAUUUGGAUUAAUACCUCAUAGUAUUUUUGAAUCGCAUGAUUUGAUUAUUAAAGUUCCAACGGUAAAAGAUGAGUAUGCGUCCCAUUAGCUAGAUGGUAAGGUAACGGCUUACCAUGGCUACGAUGGGUAGGGGUCCUGAGAGGGAGAUCCCCCACACUGGUACUGAGACACGGACCAGACUCCUACGGGAGGCAGCAGUGAGGAAUAUUGGACAAUGGGCGCAAGCCUGAUCCCAGCCAUGCCGCGUGCAGGAAGAAGGUCCUAUGGAUUGUAAACUGCUUUUUAUACAGGAAGAAACACUCCGACGUGUCGGGAGCUUGACGGUACUGUAGGAAUAAGGAUCGGCUAACUCCGUGCCAGCA
Molecule: ribosomal RNA, 487 nt
Filed under: uncultured bacterium
Lineage: Bacteria
Description: bacterial SSU rRNA
Rfam family: Bacterial small subunit ribosomal RNA
Source: RNAcentral